This 546-nucleotide ribosomal RNA is filed under the name Takydromus septentrionalis. RNAcentral's name for it is "partial 16S ribosomal RNA". It matches the Rfam family "Bacterial large subunit ribosomal RNA", at positions 1812 to 2627 of the family's 2925-position model. The record is from RNAcentral. Lineage: Eukaryota; Metazoa; Chordata; Lepidosauria; Squamata; Lacertidae.
AACAUAGCCUUUAGCCCUACAAGUAUUAAAGGUCCCGCCUGCCCAGUGACUUUUUAAACGGCCGCGGUAUCCUAACCGUGCAAAGGUAGCAUAAUCACUUGUCUUUUAAAUAAAGACUAGAAUGAACGGCUAAAUGAGGACCAAGCUGUCUCUUAUGGUUGGUCAAUGAAAUUGAUCUUCCAGUCCAAAAGCUGAAAUUUUUACAUAAGACGAGAAGACCCUGUGGAGCUUAAAAACCCCUACAACAACAUGCUUGCUGGUUUUUUAGUUGGGGCGACUUUGGAGUACAAAUUAACCUCCAAAACACAACCUAUUUAUAAGAUAAACACAUCAAAAUAAAUGUUCUAGACCCAGAAACCACUUUCUGAUUAAUGAACCAAGUUACCCCAGGGAUAACAGCGCCAUCCCCUUCAAGAGUCCCUAUCGACAAGGGGGUUUACGACCUCGAUGUUGGAUCAGGACACCCAAAUAGUGCAGCCGCUAUUAAAGGUUUGUUUGUUCAACAAUUAAAGUCCUACGUGAUCUGAGUUCAGACCGGGGAAAUCC